Molecule: long non-coding RNA, 577 nt
Filed under: Mytilus galloprovincialis (Mediterranean mussel)
Lineage: Eukaryota; Metazoa; Mollusca; Bivalvia; Mytilida; Mytilidae
Source: RNAcentral
CCAGUAAUAAGUGCUUUUGAUAUAGAUUCAGUGCAAUCUGUUUAAAGAAAUACAAUUUUUAAGUGCAUAGAACUUCAUAUUUCACUUGCUUCGUACGGACCGCUAGACCUAGACUAUUAAAACAGCACAUUUUGCACUCUUUUUAUGCUUUUAUCCACCUUUCUUUGUGUUCAGAGUUCACAAAUGAGUAAAACACAUGAAAUAAAUACCACAAACACAAAUAGAUAUCAGAAAAAAAAUGUCAGAGAAAAAUUAAGAAUGCUGCUUUUGCAAAAAUAUUGAAAAAAGUGAAAAAGCUACUUUUUGGGCAUAUUAGCUGAAAAGUGACUUUUUUUACAAAUUUCUAUCAAAUAAAAGUGGAAACCAUUUCUUCUCAUAUAGUUUGACAAAUAAAUACCAAUAGAUCAUUCAGAGAAGUUGUCAAAGUAUAAAUUCAAAAUUUGCUGAAAUGCACCUCUUAGGCCCGAGACCACAAUUAAUUCUUCUAUCAUUUCUUUAUAACGUUUUGUCGCAUUAAAAAAAAUUGAAUUGUUCUUUUUGUCUAAUUUUUUGUGUGAGUAAUGUACAGUACAAGUCC